Long non-coding RNA from Stomoxys calcitrans (stable fly), 2707 nucleotides. RefSeq lists it as uncharacterized. Lineage: Eukaryota; Metazoa; Arthropoda; Insecta; Diptera; Muscidae. The transcript is spliced from 2 exons. The record is from RefSeq and is a predicted model, not a curated record.
GAUUACACAUAGGCUUCUCUUCUGCCAGGGAAUUUACCGCCAAUGGUAUCUCGUCCCACCUGAACGCUUACUCUCUGUCUGUCCGCAUAUGUCCGUCCAAAGAUCGUAAUGUUACAGACCAUUUCAUACGCCAAAAAAAGGACAGCAUCUGCGGCCCAAUUGGCCGGAACAAAAAUCCCUAAUAAACUUUCCUACCUGCCCAGAUCGAGCUCUUUCUAUAGGGGAAGGGCAAGGACCGUGAAAGAGUUGGAAUUUCACUUCUUUCGUUUACUUUCCUGCCCUAGCAAUAACUCACAAUGAUGUCGAAUAACUUGCAAUUCCACAGAUUGAAAUACGGUGUUGCUAUUUAGAAACCGGCAAGCAUCAACAAUUAAGAAAAAAAAAAUUUGACCAAAGGCUAAGAUUAUUUUUUUACACGUUUUGUUGUUGUUGUCACUUGAUAAAUGGCACUGCACUUUCAUUGAUAGUCACUUCGUUCUCACCUCCGGCUGCUUCGACGUCUCAAAUUUUUCCUCCUGUUCCAGUGGCUUACGUUAUCAUUUUUCCCAUCAUGGCGCUCUUCCCAGCCAGAAUUUCCUCUGGUGAGCCAAAUGACAACACACAACCAACUGUCCUACUGUCAUUCAGACAGGGGUCGUGGUUCAUGACUAAGCAGCUGACUACGUUCGGCAAUUGUCGGCUAGAUGGGGCUUUUAGCGACGUCAAGGCGCACGCGACAAACCCAACCAUCCAACAUCACUGUUAAAGAAUGGUUGGGAAAAAAGUGCAAUUCCUAAGAUAUUCCUGGCUUUAUAUUCGAAUAAAUCCGAGCAGCGAUCCCUAAAACCUACCUUGGUCUGCAAUCCCUAAAUAUUUGGAUCGCUACCUUGCUUAGUUAUACCAUGGAAAACCUCAUUUUUGUGCGACAUAUCGUUCAGCCAUCUUAUUUCAACAACUUGCUCCCAUGGCAAUUCGUCUAAUACAUUUCUAUUCUGGUUGUUUGACAUUGACCUUUUUAUGGAAUUUACUAGGUAAAUCUACCCUGGUUUAAUUCCUAUUUACAUCUCCCUGCCAAACACACGUAUCUAAUAGUGUAUACAACCCCUAAGAACGAUGAAUUGCUAGGAACUAUAAAUGACAGCCGUAUACGUUUCUUUAUUGAAAUAGGGUCGGUAUCCUGUAUGAGUGGCCACACCACUGUAACGCUGUUAAAAUAGAUGAAUGGCCACUGUCAUUCAUAAUUAAAAUAAUGUUGUGUGCGCGAUGUCAAAACUUGAAUAGGGCCACUAACCGUGGUAUUGUGAAUGACACAAGGUGUAUUCGAUUGGCAACACGGCAUAAACAGCUGCCGUAUAGGUGCCGUUGUUCAUGACUGAUGUCUUGGGGACAAAUAUAAACAAUGAGAAGAAAAGUGAAAGGGAAAAGGGCCAUGACAGGAAAUUUUUGGAAGAUGGACGAUUUCCUGGGCCAUUUCCUUUCUCUUGGAUUUGAACAUUCAAGCUGGUUGAACGUGGGAAUCGAGUGAAAUCUAGUGUUUUUUGUUGUUGUAAAACUAAAGCCAGGCAUAUGCCUUGUAGUACGACCAAACCAACACUUUUAAAGAAGAAGAAAGAGAUGCUAAUGCUUGUGUUUUUUUUACUGAUGGUUAAUUGUGUGCCAAACAAACAUUGAAACUUGAAUUUUUAACAGAAAUAUGAAAAAGUGAAACCUGAAAAAAAAGACUUUAAUCUUAACAGCUAAAUGAACUUACUUGAUAAAUAACCUGCAAACUAAAAUAAACUACCCAAACAAUUACAAGCUAAAUAAACCAUAAACACUUACAAGCUAAAUAAACCAUAAACUUACAAGCUAGACAAAACCUCAAAAUGAUCGUAUCUUUUCGGCCACGUGCAGCCACCAUCACCGCUUCAAUCAACGUUGGAGACGCAGCAAACUGGCAUGCUCAGACCGACAUGCCCCAUGUAAAGCCCUAUGCCGACAGUUGAAUUACAAUUAACUUCGGACAAACGGAUUCCAGACUUGACUUCCUUAUUUUCCUUUUGUUUCAGCCUAUAUUUGUAAAGAAAGAGAAAUGCAAAUGUUUAUUAAGAGUGGUUAGGCAAGACAAUCGUGUAUUUAGUUGCUAUGAAAUUUACAUUUUUUAACUAUUGUAUAAAAGGUGGCCAAGGCGUCUCAGGUUGAGCUCAGCUUAGGUAGCUUUGACGUAGGUUUAAAGUGGGGGUGGUGUCCCAAUAGUGAGGCCGAUUGUGCUGUCUCUAAUGCAAGAGAAGCUAAGAAAAAAUACAUGCAUAUGCAUAUUUUUACAUAUAAAGCCACCGAGAGAAAAAUACUACAUAAAAAGAACAUAAAAACAAUAUUAAUGCAAAUAUAGGUACCAAACACAAAGAAAAAAUAAACAUACUUACCAAUAAACAGAUAGACACAUACGGACGGACAGAUCAACUGAGGGUCCAUCUACCGGUACCAAGCUGGUGCCAUCAUCAUCUGCCGAUCUGGGAGUCCAUCUCGCAUUAUUCCUGGUCCUGUUCCUACACUAGAAGAAGAAGAGAAACGCCGUUUCAUAUUAUUGUUUUUUUUUAGUUUAUUCUGAUUUUUUUUGACGUUUUUCCGAAUGUUUGCAUUUAAUUUCCCAUUGGAUUUUCAAACUAAAUUUCUAUUCAAAUCCUGUUUUGUAUUUUAGUCGUUCGCUAGAAUAAAACUAUGAAAGAUUUUAUAACGUUGAACAGAA